AGCAGCCACUCAUUAAAAGAGUGCGUAAUAGCUCACUGGUCGAGUGACUCUGCGCGGAAAAUGUAACGGGGCUAAGCAUGCAACCGAAGCUUAGGAUUGUCUAAAGACAGUGGUAGGGGAGCGUUCUGUAUGGGGUGAAGUCGCAGCGAGAGCAGCGGUGGACUGUACAGAAGUGAGAAUGCCGGAAUGAGUAGCGAGAAUUAUGUGGGAAUCAUAAUGGCCGAAAAUCUAAGGUUUCUUGGGGAAGGUUCGUCCGCCCAAGGUAAGCCGGGAGCUAAGGCGAGGCCGCAAGGCGUAGUCGAUGCACAUACGGUAGAAAUUCCGUAGCCGCCGAACUUUAAGCAUGCUGACACUUUGGAAUAGGGGAACCCGGGCGUUGGUCGACCCGGGCGUAAGGGACCGAAAAAUAGUAGGGAAGUCCUUGAUGUCCAGAGGCGAGAAAAGGCAUGUGGUAUACUAAGGCGCCCGUACCGCAAACCGACACAGGUAGAUGAGGAGAGAAUCCUAAGGCCAACGGGAGAAGGGUUGUUAAGGAACUCGGCAAAAUGACCCCGUAACUUCGGGAUAAGGGGAGCCUGCGCGAGCAGGCCGCAGAGAAUAGGCCCAAGCGACUGUUUACCAAAAACACAGGUCUAUGCUAAAUCGAAAGAUGACGUAUAUGGGCUGACGCCUGCCCGGUGCUGGAAGGUUAAGAGGAGAGCUUAGCGCAAGCGAAGGUUUGAAUUGAAGCCCCAGUAAACGGCGGCCGUAACUAUAACGGUCCUAAGGUAGCGAAAUUCCUUGUCAGGUAAGUUCUGACCCGCACGAAUGGCGUAACGAUUUGGGCGCUGUCUCAACAGCCCACCCGGCGAAAUUGUAGUACUGGUGAAGAUGCCAGUUACCCGCAACUAGACGGAAAGACCCCAUGGAGCUUUACUGUAGCUUAAUACUGGAAAUCGGUAAAUCAUGUACAGGAUAGGUGGGAGACUUGGAAGCCUGGGCGUCAGCUUAGGUGGAGUCAACCUUGGGAUACCACCCUUGAUUUGCUGGUUUUCUAACCUGCGGCCGUGAAUCCGGUCGGGGGACACUGUUAGGUGGGCAGUUUGACUGGGGCGGUCGCCUCCAAAAAGGUAACGGAGGCGCUCAAAGGUUCGUUCAGCACGGACGGAAACCGUGCAGUGAGUGUAAACGCAUAAACGAGCCUAACUGCGAGACCGACGGGUCGAGCAGUAACGAAAGUUGGAGUUAGUGAUCCGGCGGUAUGUGCGUGGAAAUGCCG
This 1258-nucleotide ribosomal RNA is filed under the name human gut metagenome. RNAcentral's name for it is "bacterial LSU rRNA". It matches the Rfam family "Bacterial large subunit ribosomal RNA", at positions 1111 to 2444 of the family's 2925-position model. The record is from RNAcentral.